AUAAGUGAGGUUUUAGGGUUCAACCAAGGAAACCCUAACCCUAAUCAUCCCCAGCUGCCCUAACCGCCCCACUUCCACCCUGCCCAACUUGUGCGCACGCCCCGGCCGCCGGCGUGCAACUCCGGCCGCCGGAAAGGUCACCCCGGCCACCUCUCGGCUCUCCCCUAGCCCCGACCUGCAACAUUUUCGAGUGUUGUGCUCGGGAAAGCAUCAAAGCCGAGCUCCACCCUUCCCUGGCCGAGGCUCUU
This 248-nucleotide long non-coding RNA is filed under the name Ananas comosus (pineapple). RNAcentral describes it as "long non-coding RNA (ACOM_LNC041012)". Lineage: Eukaryota; Viridiplantae; Streptophyta; Magnoliopsida; Poales; Bromeliaceae. The record is from RNAcentral.